ACCCGCUGAACUUAAGCAUAUUAAUAAGCGGAGGAAAAGAAACUAACAAGGAUUCCCAUAGUAAUGGCGAACGAAGUGGGAAAAGCUUGAAAUUGGAAUCAAAUCUGUGAAAAUAGAUUUGAAUUGUAGUUUAGAAAAGAUUGUUAUUUGCAUUGUUUUGGUGUUGCAGAGUGCCUUUGAAAAGGGUAUUGGAGAGGGUGAUAAUCCCGUGUGCGACGCUGAAAGAAUGGUUGGACAAUGCUUUGACGAGUCAGGUUGUUUGGGAAUGCAGCCUAAAGCGGGUGGUAGACAUCAUCUAAAGCUAAAUAGGGGCACGAAACCGAUAGCGAACAAGUACUGUGAAGGAAAGAUGAAAAGCACUUUGGAAAGAGAGUGAGAGGAGGACGUGAAAUCGUUAGUACUUGGAUAAGCGGAGGGUUGCUGGUGAAGGAGAGUGUGGUCAAGAUCCUUGGAAAGAAAUUUCUGGGCGCUCUUGGUCCUGCUGGAGGAGAAGACGGUUUCUGGGGCAGACGGUCACAGGCCAAGGUGGCGUGCAGCAAUGGACGCGUUAUAGGGCCGUGAGGCGGCUGUGUGCCGGGGAGCGUUGUGGAAGGUGCUGGUGAUGGAGGGUGGUGUGCGGUGCCUGCCAGCUUGCGAAGGAGUGCUUUGAAGAGAGGCAGUCUGAGUGGUUUAUGGUGGGUGAGCAUGCGAUUGAUUCCAAACAGUGCUGAUUUCUCUUGACGAUAAAGCCAAACCUACCGACCCGUCUUGUAACACGGACCAAGGAGUAUACCAUGUAUGCGAGUUUGAGACAAGUAUAAAAGUCGCAGGCGGAAUGAAAGUGAGAGCGAUGCAGUCGCUAGCUGUUCUUUGGGACAGACUAAGAGCGUAUAUGGUGUGACCCGAAAAGUGCUGAACUAUGCUUGAGUAGGGCGAAGUCAGAGGAAACUCUGAUGGAGGCUCGUAGCGGUUUUAACGUGCAAAUUAAUGGUCGAACUUGGGUAUAGGGGCGAAAGACUAAUCGAAGCACUUGGUAGCUGGUUACCGCCGAAGUUUCCCCCAGGAUAGCGGGGUCCUCAAAGAACGGUUUUAUCGGGUAAAGCGAAUGAUUAGAGGUAAUGGGGUUGAAACAACCUCGACCUAUUCUCAAACUUUGAAUUGGUAAAAACGGGCGCUUGUGUUUUGAAAGCGGCCGAGUAACGUGGGGCCCUAGUGGGCUAGUUUUGGUAAGCAGAACUGGCGAUGCGGGAUGAACCGAAAGAUGCAGUUAAGGAACCGGAUGUGGAGGCUCAUUGGACUAAUCAAAAAGGUGUUGGUUUUUUAAGACAGCAGGACGGUGGCCAUGGAAGUCGGAACCCGCUAAGGAGUGUGUAACAACUCACCUGCCGAAAAAACUAGCCCUUAAAAUGGAUGGUUUUGUUGCCUUGCUCCUAGACUGGUCUGCCCAAAUAAUGGGGUGUGUAAGCACCAACAACACUUGGAUUUGGGCAUGUAGGCGGUUGUGAGGAUUGUGUGGAAGAGUGGGGGUGACCCUGCUUGGAACGGUCCUUAGUACAGAUCUUGGUGGAAGUAGCAAAUAUUCAAAGGAGAGGAAAGUUGUGACUCUUUGAAGACUGAAAGUGGAGAAAGGUUCCGUGUGAACUGUGGUAGGACACGGGUGAGUCGGUCCUAAGGAGGGUGCCGGAAGGUUAGAAGAUAAGAUUGGUGAAAAAGUAUGGAUAGAAAUAUGCGUGCUUGUUUCAUAGACCUCCGAAAGGGAAUCUGGGUUAAUAUUCCAGAACCACAGUUGGCUUUGUUUUUGGGGUGGCAACACUUUGGGGACGGGAGACGACUGGGCGUGAUUCAGGAAGAGUUUUUUGUGCUUUUCUUUUUAAUCUGUCAGGAUGCUUGGAAUGGGAUUAUGCCGAGAAAAGGAUCCUGGGGGAGAAGAAACGGCGCUUUUGUGGUGCUGUUCUGGAGGGCACGCCAAGUCCCGUGAAAAUCGCGUCUCUGUGAAAAGGAAAGCUGUGGCCGUACUGCAAACCGCAUCAGGUCUCCAAGGUGAAGAGCCUCUAGUUGAUAGAAGAAUGUAUGAUAAGGGAAAUCGGCAAACUGGAUCCGUAACUUCGGAAUAAGGAUUGGCUCUUGUGUGGGGGGUGUUAAAGGGAUGGGGGAAAGGGGGUGUAUACAAAGACUGGAUGGUGUCAAAGCUGUGUGGUCUAAGCGUGUGCUCUCACACCCCAUCUCUACAACACCCCAAAUACCACAAACAAGAACUGGUACGGACAAGGGGAAUCCGACUGUUUAAUUAAAACAUAGCAUUGCGAUGGUUCCAAAGGAUGGUGACGCAAUGUGAUUUCUGCCCAGUGCUCUGAAUGUCAAAGUGAUGAAAUUUAUGAAAGCGCGGGUAAACGGCGGGUGUAACUAUGACACUCUUAAGGUAGCCAAAUGCCUCGUCAUCUAAUUAGUGACGUGCAUGAAUGGAUCAAUGAGAUUCCCACUGUCCCUAUCUACUAUCUAGCGAAACCGCAGCCAAGGGAACGGACUUGGGUGGAUCAGCGGGGAAAGAAGACCCUAUUGAGCUUGACUCUAGUCUGACUUUGUGAGGGGUUGUUUGAGGUGUAGCGUAGGUGGGAGGGGUCAAACCCGGCAAUGAAACACCACUACUCGAAUCAACUCUUGACUCCAGUUUUGAUGGUGGGGAAGAUGUGACAGUCUCUUUUUGCUUUUGCUUCUCUCCACUCAAACUAACAGAUCCAGAUGGGGAGUUUGGCUGGGGCGGCACAUCUGUCAAAAGAUAACGCAGGUGUCCUAAGGUGAGCUCAAUGAGACGAGAAAUCUCAUGUGGAACAAAAGGGUACAAGCUCACUUGAUUUUUUGCUUCUCAGUACCAAGACAAACUGUGAAAGCAUGGCCUAUCGAUCCUUUAGAAGCAUUAACAUGUCUUUAUCUAGAGGUGUCAGAAAAGUUACCAUAGGGAUAACUGGCUUGUGGCAGCCAAGCGUUCAUAGCGACGUUGCUUUUUGAUCCUUCGAUGUCGGCUCUUCCUAUCACUGUCUCGCAGAAGAGACAAAUGGCGGGAUUGUUCACCCUCUAACAGGGAACGUGAGCUGGGUUUAGACCGUCGUGAGACAGGUUAGUUUUACCCUACUGAUCUCGUAAAGUAUGAAAAGAAUCAUUUUUUAGUACGAGAGGAACUAAAAUGAGUGAUAUUUGGCCGGGAUUUGCUUGAACAAGCACUGAUCCUAAGCUACCAUCGCUUAGCUAACGGUUGAACGCCUCUUAAACCGGA
RNAcentral lists this ribosomal RNA (3250 nucleotides) under Codosiga hollandica. RNAcentral describes it as "eukaryotic LSU rRNA". It matches the Rfam family "Eukaryotic large subunit ribosomal RNA". The record is from RNAcentral. Lineage: Eukaryota; Choanoflagellata; Craspedida; Salpingoecidae.